CCUACGGGAGGCAGCAGUGGGGGAUAUUGCACAAUGGGGGGAACCCUGAUGCAGCGACGCCGCGUGGGUGAAGGAGUGCUUCGGCAUGUAAAGCCCUAUCGGCAGGGAAGAAGCAAGACGGUACCUGACUAAGAAGCGCCGGCUAACUACGUGCCAGCAGCCGCGGUAAUACGUAGGGGGCGAGCGUUAUCCGGAUUCACUGGGUGUAAAGGGAGCGUAGACGGCCAUGCAAGCCAGGGGUGAAAGCCCGGGGCCCAACCCCGGGACUGCCCUUGGAACUGUGCGGCUAGAGUGCGGGAGGGGCAGGCGGAAUGCCUGGUGUAGCGGUGAAAUGCGUAGAUAUCAGGAGGAACACCGGCGGCGAAGGCGGCCUGCUGGACUGCGACUGACGUUGAGGCUCGAAAGCGUGGGGAGCGAACAGGAUUAGAUACCCGUGUAGUC
This 441-nucleotide ribosomal RNA is filed under the name uncultured bacterium. RNAcentral's name for it is "partial 16S ribosomal RNA". It matches the Rfam family "Bacterial small subunit ribosomal RNA", at positions 338 to 795 of the family's 1533-position model. The record is from RNAcentral.